This is a long non-coding RNA of Mauremys reevesii (Reeves's turtle), 495 nucleotides long. RefSeq lists it as uncharacterized. The record is from RefSeq and is a predicted model, not a curated record. The transcript is spliced from 4 exons. Lineage: Eukaryota; Metazoa; Chordata; Testudines; Geoemydidae.
ACACCAGCGCUGCAAACUGUUUAACCCUAUAGAACAAUGAAUGGAGUUCAGAUAAUCCCAGAAACUAGAGUCCAAGAUCUUCAACAGUGACUAGUGAGGAUGCAUGCAUAAGGAACAUCAGUGAUUGAAGACUGUGUACAAACAGCAGAGAAUUACAAAAGCUUGGAACUUAAAAACUUUGAUGAAACACACCCAGGAGAUUUAAAGAUUCCAAAUAUAAACAAUAGAGCUGAGGUUGUAUAGUCAGAAAAUAUGUGGAGUUUAAAUGAUUUAUCUUCUCCUACAUUCAAGAAAGCACUGGUCUACAAGAUGCACUGAGAUAUUGUGCUUCAGUUCUCCCCAUAAGCAUUACAAAAAGAACUUGCUGGCAUCCUAUUGUAGCUAAUCUUUUGGAGACUUAUAUUCACAUACAUUAAAGGAUGUUCUCAUGUAUUAUUUCACAACCAUAAAAUGUAGAAUCUGUUUCUUAGGUAUAUCAAUUUAGACAGUAAUUUC